Molecule: unclassified non-coding RNA, 2311 nt
Filed under: Hevea brasiliensis (rubber tree)
Lineage: Eukaryota; Viridiplantae; Streptophyta; Magnoliopsida; Malpighiales; Euphorbiaceae
Source: RNAcentral
UGGAAACAAAUAUAAAAAUUUAUGACUUUGGCUUGUAUAAAAAGGGAAAAGGCAGUGGAUCUUGAUCAAUGGCUAGGAUGGUGGACACACAAAAUUUAUGUGAAACACGAUAGUGUGGUCUGAUUUUAACAUUGGGUGACAUGGUGCAUGGUGGGAAGCUGGCCAAAAUGGUCUGUCCAUGUUUUCAAAAGAGAGAAAUCUGUCUAUUUCCAUGGUCUUAGGAGAUUGCUAGGAGAAGCAAGAAUGGAAGCAUUGACCAUAGAUUUGGAAGACUUUGAAAACUCCGAAACAGCCUCCUUUCUGGGGAGUUAUUUGAUCUCUUCAUCUCCAUUUACCAUUCUCCAUUGAUAUACAAAUCACUUUUCUUCUCCUUCUUCUUCUUCUUCAUCGCAAUCCUCUUCGUUUACUCCUAAGAGAAUCGUGUAUAGAGAGCCGAUACCUUUCUGGCAGCAGAACUGGUUCAUUGGAUUGCUUUUCGCCAUGGCUCUCGCCUUCUUUGCUAUCUCAAUCUUCCUCUUCCUCAACCUGGAUCUCGAACAGGGCUCCUUUUCUUCUGCCUCCGCCGCUUCCUCCUCCUCUGAAGGCCUCGAGAUUACAUAUGGAACCGUUCUCAAGCUGAUGCAUGAGAGGACAAAAUUUCGGCUUCAUUCCCAUGAUGUGCCAUAUGGCUCUGGCAGUGGGCAGCAAUCUGUUACGGGAUUUCCUAUUGUUGAUGAUUCCAAUAGUUACUGGGUUGUUAGGCCUCAACCAGGUACAGAUGCGAAACAAGGUGAGACCAUCAAAACUGGGACAAUCAUCCGCCUGCAACACAUGAGGACUAGAAAAUGGCUGCACAGCCAUUUGCAUUUAUCACCAAUAUCCGGCAACCUGGAGGUUAUGAGUUCUACUUUUCUGCUCCUAUUUCAUCCACACUUCAUAAUGUGUUCUGUAUAAAAUAUAUCUUUUAUGGGAUGAAGUUUUUGAAGGUAAGUAUGAGUUUUUAAACUAUUGUGUGUGUUUGGGAGGAAGAUUUUUUGAAGGUUGCUAAGGCUUUUGAAGGUUUCAAAACCUUCAAUAACCUCACUUUUCAAUCCACCAAAUUAUUGGGUUUGAUACUUUACCUUCCAUUAUCUUAAGUUAUUUUUAAAACCUCUCUUCACUCCUUCCAAACACACUGUAAUUGACUUGGUGUUUGUAUAGAAUGUUGUUGAAAGCUUCCCUAAGAUAUAAUAUAUGCUCAAUGAGCUAGAAGAAACAAUGACACGAUUAUUCACCACAAAAACUAUCAUACAAAUAAAUGGAAUGAAUAUCAUAAUUCAUUUUUAGCAAUCAUAUCAAGAAAGCAUUUCUAUGAUCUCUAGGUGUCAGUUAGAGAUUUGUUGAGUUUCGUGGCAUUCUCCUUUUGGGAAUCUGCAUUUAAUGUGCUGAAACUAUAUUUUCAGACCAAUCAUUGCCUUAACUUGAAACCCUACUAUUUUGUAUUGAGAAGUCUGUGGUGAAAAUGUGAAAUGGCUUUGUAAACAAGGGAGCUAGUUUGUUGAUGUAGCCGCUAAUCAGUAUUGUGCAAUAAAAAUCUUACUUCAGUGACCAAAAAGAUAUCUUUCAUGGGCUCUGGAAGCUGUUGAUUGUCUAAUGACACGAGCCAAACACUUUUCUGGGUGUAGGUUAGCUGCUUUGGAGGAGAGACUGAAUCUGACACUGGGGAUUACUGGAGGCUUCUGAUUGAAGGGAGUGGGAAGACUUGGAAGCAAGAUCAAAGGAUUCGGCUGCAACAUGUUGACACUGGUGGCUACCUUCACAGUCAUGACAAGAAAUACCAACGGAUAGCUGGGGGGCAGCAAGAGGUUUGUGGUGUCCGUGAAAAGCGAGCUGAUAAUCUUUGGCUGGCAGCAGAAGGUGUGUACCUCCCCAUUACCCAGAGCAAGUAGAAGUAGAACACGGUUAUAGUAAAGGGAUUGACAUUGUAAAAACAGGUACCUGUUAUUACUUGUUAUAAUAGCUGUAGGUGCUCCAUGAAAUGAAGAAAUAUGUUUCAGAGGCUAGAAUGUAACACCUUGAAUUAUUAUUUCUUUCUCAUGCACCACAUGCAAAUCUCAUUUACCUUAAGAAAAUACCACUUUGGAUUAACAGUGAGCAACUUCAUAUUCAUUCUGAGGCUUUUCCAUAAUAGAGUAAAAUCUUGGUCAUCAUUUUAGAAAUAUAAUGUAUCACUUUCAUAUACAACAUGAAGAUUCAACAAAGUGUGUGAUCCUCGUUAGGGAAGGCAUUGGAUGAUUUAUCUAGCACGCUCACAUGGAUUGGAUGUCAAAUCCAAUUUUUAUUUCUGUUUGAC